AGGGCACCACCAGGAGUGGAGCCUGCGGCUUAAUUUGACUCAACACGGGAAAACUCACCCGGCCCGGACACUGGAAGGAUUGACAGAUUGAGAGCUCUUUCUUGAUUCAGUGGGUGGUGGUGCAUGGCUGUUCUUAGUUGGUGGAGUGAUUUGUCUGGUUAAUUCCGAUAACGAACGAGACUCUAGCCUACUAAAUAGAUCGUCGGCUUACAAACGCCGGCGAGACUUCUUAGAGGGACAGGCGGCGAUUCAACCGCACGAAACAGAGCAAUAACAGGUCUGUGAUGCCCUUAGAUGUCCGGGGCCGCACGCGCGCUACACUGAAGUGGUCAGCGUGCUUUUUCAACCUACUCUGUCAAGAGUGGGGAACCCAAUGAACCUUCUUCGUGAUUGGGAUAGGGGGUUGUAAUUAUUCCCCUUGAACGAGGAAUUCCCAGUAAGCGCGAGCCAUAAGCUCGCGUUGAUUACGUCCCUGCCCUUUGUACACACCGCCCGUCGCUACUACCGAUUGAAUGUUUU
This 519-nucleotide ribosomal RNA is filed under the name uncultured eukaryote. RNAcentral's name for it is "SSU rRNA". It matches the Rfam family "Eukaryotic small subunit ribosomal RNA", at positions 1161 to 1699 of the family's 1831-position model. The record is from RNAcentral.